This 497-nucleotide ribosomal RNA is filed under the name uncultured bacterium. Its description in RNAcentral is "partial 16S ribosomal RNA". It matches the Rfam family "Bacterial small subunit ribosomal RNA", at positions 28 to 507 of the family's 1533-position model. The record is from RNAcentral.
GAUGAACGCUGGCGGCGUGCCUAAUACAUGCAAGUCGAGCGAACGGACGAGAAGCUUGCUUCUCUGAUGUUAGCGGCGGACGGGUGAGUAACACGUGGAUAACCUACCUAUAAGACUGGGAUAACUUCGGGAAACCUGAGCUAAUACCGGAUAAUAUUUUGAACCGCAUGGUUCAAAAGUGAAAGACGGUCUUGCUGUCACUUAUAGAUGGAUCCGCGCUGCAUUAGCUAGUUGGUAAGGUAACGGCUUACCAAGGCAACGAUGCAUAGCAGACCUGAGAGGGUGAUCGGCCACACUGGAACUGAGACACGGUCCAGACUCCUACGGGAGGCAGCAGUAGGGAAGCUUCCGCAAUGGGCGAAAGCCUGACGGAGCAACGCCGCGUGAGUGAUGAAGGUCUUCGGAUCGUAAAACUCUGUUAUUAGGGAAGAACAUAUGUGUAAGUAACUGUGCACAUCUUGACGGUACCUAAUCAGAAAGCCACGGCUAACUACGUG